AUCGAACGCUGGCGGCGUGGCUAAAACAUGCAAGUCGAACGCGAAAGCCCCUUCGGGGGCAAGUAGAGUGGCGGAAGGGCGAGGAAUGCAUGGGCAACGUACCUUUGGCUCGGGGAUAGCUGCGGGAAACUGCAGGUAAUACCCGAUUAGACCACAGUGUCAUAAGGCACAGCGGUCAAAGGUGGGACAUCUUCGGAUGCCUACUGGCCAUUGAGCGGCCCAUGCCCUAUCAGCUAGUUGGUGAGGUAACGGCCCACCAAGGCGAUGACGGGUACCGGGACUGAGAGGUUGGUCCGGCGCAUUGGGACUGAGACACUGCCCAGACUCCUACGGGAGGCAG
This 340-nucleotide ribosomal RNA is filed under the name uncultured Planctomycetota bacterium. RNAcentral describes it as "bacterial SSU rRNA". It matches the Rfam family "Bacterial small subunit ribosomal RNA", at positions 30 to 351 of the family's 1533-position model. The record is from RNAcentral. Lineage: Bacteria; Pseudomonadati; Planctomycetota.